This 253-nucleotide ribosomal RNA is filed under the name uncultured bacterium. RNAcentral's name for it is "partial 16S ribosomal RNA". It matches the Rfam family "Bacterial small subunit ribosomal RNA", at positions 524 to 776 of the family's 1533-position model. The record is from RNAcentral.
UACGGAGGAUGCAAGCGUUAUCCGGAAUGAUUGGGCGUAAAGCGUCCGCAGGUGGCAAUGUAAGUCUGCUGUCAAAGCGUCUGGCUCAACCAGAUAAAGGCAGUGGAAACUACAUGGCUAGAGUGCGUUCGGGGCAGAGGGAAUUCCUGGUGUAGCGGUGAAAUGCGUAGAGAUCAGGAAGAACACCGGUGGCGAAAGCGCUCUGCUAGGCCGCAACUGACACUGAGGGACGAAAGCUAGGGGAGCGAAUGGG